Long non-coding RNA from Daphnia pulex (common water flea), 1734 nucleotides. RefSeq lists it as uncharacterized. The transcript has 13 exons. NCBI's taxonomy places the organism in Eukaryota, Metazoa, Arthropoda, Branchiopoda, Diplostraca, Daphniidae. The record is from RefSeq and is a predicted model, not a curated record.
CCGAUGUUUUUGCUUCUCGUUUUCAUUUGCUUAACCUUAAGUUAAGCGGGAAAGAUCUAAUAGUUGCGAAUGUGGUCUGUCCGAAAACUAAUUAAUUAGCCUUCCUACACAGUAUGGUCCAUGGUGCUUGACAAGAAAAAGCCAUUUUAAUUGUCUAGACUGAGAGUCUGUCCACGUAAAUUUUCAUCGUUCCUCGAUGCCAUAUUGUAAAACCCUAUCAGUCUGUUAUCCACGAGUUCCCUGUCAGCAAACAUCCACCCAUCCACUAUAGUCUUACAAGGUUUGAAGCAGCAAGGAGAUAUGUUCGUAAAGACUGUCCAUCACAGACCAACACUAAGAGGUCCACAUAAUUUUUCAUCGUUCCUCAAUGCCAUAUUGUAAAAUCCUAUGAGUGAGUUCCCCGUCAGCAAACAUCCGCCCAUCCACUAUAUAGUCUUUUACUCUUUCGGCUCACACUCCUCACAGCAGCAAGGAGAUAUGUUUGUAAAGACUGUCCAACACAGACUAACACCCACUAACGAUUUAAUGUGUGCCUAAGAUUCUAACUGGUGGUCAACAAAUCUAUUUAAACAUCCUGAAACAGUAUGAACCAAUUUCUGGUAUUUUUAAAUCAGAUCUUUCUGCUGUCAUUGUCUUCAACGAUGGGAGGCACAUUCUCUAUUAAGACUACUAUAAAGUAUUAUUCUGGAUUGCCUGCCGGAUCUACCCAUCCACUAUGGUUAUUCGAGUAAUUGCAGUAAAGACUGUUGCUACAGAGACAGAAAAAACCGGACCGGUACAUAAUGAUUCUACCCUCAAAAUGGAUUCUAAGAUGUCGAGUCAGUUGGACAGUUUCGUGUUUCGUCGCGAUUUUAUCAUUGGCCAAUAAAGUUGAUGGUAGUAAUGCUAGAUAGCAUAAAUCUGAUAAUGUGACAGACAAUAUAGAAAUGCAGUCAUACUAGGGCAGGCAAGAAAUGGUUUCGGUAAACUGACUGAACUCCAAUAGGGUUCUCCGGCUGAUCACGAACUCAUUUAUGGACGACUACAGAUAAAGCCAGACAAGUCAAGCUAUCGGAUUCCAGAUUUUUCCCACAAUUACCUCGUUUAUUUGGGCCUCACUUAGUGGUGUUUUUCAAGGAUCGGCGGUCGGCCAUGAGUGAUGUAGACACCGUUCCGGUAAACAUGUGGUCAUGCAGAUGCAGUUUCUUUAUAUUUUCUGCCAGAAACCAAUCUUUAAGCUGUCACUACCUAUAGGAUUGAUUCCUCCAAAAUGUUUAAUUCGGUUUGAUAUGCUUAUGCACAACCUGAAAUCAGCCGCCGAUGCAACGCUCUUAUCAUAAUUGUUUUUAAAGCCCCAGAACGGAGAUCCGGGAAUUCAUUUGUUCGUGACAGGAGAGUGACUGCCACUUGGAAUCUGCAGCAUUAGUAUUUUCGCAACGGAGGACAACUACAAGAUAUGGAGCAGUCUACAGCAAACGCAUUAUAAUCACCAAGCUCAAGAAGUGAUGACGACGAAAUUGGAAUUAGCAGAGCAAGAGGCCAACGAUUUUACGACCAUGAAUCAACAAGGAUAUGCCGUCAUUUGCUAUGAGGAUGGAGCAGCCAUGAGUUUCGAGACCCCACCGGACGUGAAGUUCAUCAGAUGGUGAUGAACCUACGAUGGAGGAUGACGUAAUCAACUAAUGGAGUUCACUCGAAGCUAAGGUUGCAGAGAAAUAUUUAAAAAAUAGCCGACUGCUGUCCUUCAAACGGUUC